ACGUAGGGACCAAGCGUUGUUCGGAUUUACUGGGCGUAAAGGGCGCGUAGGCGGCAUGACAAGUCACUUGUGAAAUCUCCGGGCUUAACUCGGAACGGCCAAGUGAUACUGUCGCGCUAGAGUGCAGAAGGGGCAAUCGGAAUUCUUGGUGUAGCGGUGAAAUGCGUAGAUAUCAAGAGGAACACCUGAGGUGAAGACGGGUUGCUGGGCUGACACUGACGCUGAGGCGCGAAAGCCAGGGGAGCAAACGGGAUUAGAUACCCCGGUAGUCCUGGCCCUAAACGAUGAAUACUUGGUGUCUGGAGUUUAUAUCCUCCGGGUGCCGUCGCUAACGUUUUAAGUAUUCCGCCUGGGGAGUACGCUCGCAAGAGUG
This 373-nucleotide ribosomal RNA is filed under the name uncultured bacterium. RNAcentral's name for it is "bacterial SSU rRNA". It matches the Rfam family "Bacterial small subunit ribosomal RNA", at positions 525 to 896 of the family's 1533-position model. The record is from RNAcentral.